Molecule: ribosomal RNA, 796 nt
Filed under: uncultured archaeon
Lineage: Archaea
Description: bacterial SSU rRNA
Rfam family: Archaeal small subunit ribosomal RNA
Source: RNAcentral
ACUGCUCAGUAACACGUGGAUAACCUGCCCUUGGGUCCGGCAUAACCCCGGGAAACUGGGGAUAAUUCCGGAUAACGCACAUAUGCUGGAAUGCUUUAUGCGUCAAAUGGAUUCGUCUGCCCAAGGAUGGGUCUGCGGCCUAUCAGGUAGUAGUGGGUGUAAUGUACCUACUAGCCGACGACGGGUACGGGUUGUGAGAGCAAGAGCCCGGAGAUGGAUUCUGAGACAUGAAUCCAGGCCCUACGGGGCGCAGCAGGCGCGAAAACUUUACAAUGCGGGAAACCGUGAUAAGGGGACACCGAGUGCCAGCAUCAUAUGCUGGCUGUCCGGGUGUGUAAAAUACACCUGUUAGCAAGGGCCGGGCAAGACCGGUGCCAGCCGCCGCGGUAACACCGGCGGCCCGAGUGGUGAUCGUGAUUAUUGGGUCUAAAGGGUCCGUAGCCGGUUUGGUCAGUCCUCCGGGAAAUCUGACGGCUUAACCGUUAGGCUUUCGGAGGAUACUGCCAGGCUUGGAACCGGGAGAGGUAAGGGGUACUACAGGGGUAGGAGUGAAAUCUUGUAAUCCCUGUGGGACCACCUGUGGCGAAGGCGUCUUACCAGAACGGGUUCGACGGUGAGGGACGAAAGCUGGGGGCACGAACCGGAUUAGAUACCCGGGUAGUCCCAGCCGUAAACGAUGCUCGCUAGGUGUCAGGCAUGGCGCGACCGUGUCUGGUGCCGCAGGGAAGCCGUGAAGCGAGCCACCUGGGAAGUACGGCCGCAAGGCUGAAACUUAAAGGAAUUGGCGGGGGAGCAC